GGAGGAACUGAGAAUGAAUGACCGCGUUCAAACAAAGUGUGCGUGAGUUUCUGUUGGGAAAGCAUCAAGAUCUGCAGCAAACUGUGCAGGAUUGCCUUCAUCUCCAAAAUCCGGGUUGCAGCCGGUGAUUGGCAGGAGGAGGAGAGUCUGACGGAGGAGCAGAGGAAUGUUGGCAGCCAUUUAGUCUGAGCUCAACAACAGAGGAAACAUGGAUUCUUCACAAAAGAAAUGUAAACACAGCAAUGGAGUGAGAUGUCGGACCUCUGAGGAGGAUAAGGAUGGUUCAGCAACAACGGCAAAAAGAGAUGAAUCACUGAGUUGUGAGCAAUGUGACAAGACUUUUAUUACAGCAACAAAGCUAAGAAUUCACAAACAUAUUCACACUGUGGAGAAACCAUUCAGCUGUGAUCAGUGUGGGAAGGCUUUUACUCAGAAGAGUGACUUAAAAAGACAUCAACUCAUUCACAGUGGAGUUAAACCAUUCAGCUGUGAUCAGUGUGGAAAGGCUUUUACUCACAAUAGUCACUUAAAAAGCCAUCAACUCAUGCACAGUGGAGUUAAACCAUUCAGCUGUGAUCAGUGUGGAAAGGCUUUUACUCACAAGAGUCAGUUAAAAAGCCAUCAACUCAUUCACAGUGGAGUUAAACCAUUCAACUGUGAUCAGUGUGGUAAGGCUUUUACUCGGAAGACUCAUUUAAAAAGCCAUCAACUCAUGCACAGUGGAGUUAAACCAUUCAGCUGUGAUCAGUGUGGAAAGGCUUUUACUAAGAAGAGUGACUUAAAAAGACAUCAACUCAUUCACAGUGGAGUUAAACCAUUCAGCUGUGAUCAGUGUGGAAAGGCUUUUACUCACAAUAGUCACUUAAAAAGCCAUCAACUCAUUCACAGUGCAGUGAAACCAUUCAGCUGUGCUCAGUGUGGAAAGGCUUUUACUCAGAAGAGUCAGUUAAAAAGCCAUCAACUCAUUCACAGUGGAGUGAAAUUGUUUGGCUGUGAUCAAUGUGGAAAGGCUUUUACUCUCAAGAGUACAUUAAGAAGUCAUCAACUAAUGCACAGUGGAGUUAAACCAUUCAGCUGUGAUCAGUGUGGAAAGGCUUUUACUCACAAGAGUCAGUUAAAAAGCCAUCAACUCAUUCACAGUGGAGUUAAACCAUUCAGCUGUGCUCAGUGUGGAAAGGCUUUUAAUCAGAAGAGUAUGUUAAAAAGACAUCAGCUCAUUCACAGUGGAGUGAAAUUGUUCAGCUGUAAUCAGUGUGGUAAGGCUUUUACUCGGAAGACUCAUUUAAAAAGCCAUCAACUCAUUUACAGUGGAGUGAAACCAUUCAACUGUGAUCAGUGUGUGAAAACCUUUACUCAGCAUGAACAGUUGUUGAUCCAUCAAUGCCCCCAUUCUGGUACAAAGCGGUACCACUGUGACUCCUGUGAAAAAACUUUCAGCUCCCAACAGACCUUAAAAUAUCACCAACGCAUCCACACUGGACAUGAUGUGUACCGAUGUGAUCACUGUGGUGAACCAUUUGUAUUGUACUCACAGUUAAAAGCUCAUGAAGUGACCCACACUGGGGUUAAACCAUACCUUUGUGAUCAGUGUGGGAAACGCUACAGCUACAUUGCAAACCUCAAAGUUCACCAACGUGUCCACACUGGGGAGAGACCAUACAGAUGUGAUGAGUGUAAGAAGACUUUUACAACUUUGGGUUCCCUGAAACAACACCAGCAGAUCCGCACCAGAAAGAAAGCAUUCAAUCAGUGUCACAGUGAGCAGAACGGAACAGAUGGACAAAACUCUCAGACUUGUCAGCACUCUGCCAAUGGUGAACAGUGCUGCUUUGACCAGUCUGGACCAACGUCCAACCAACAAGGAACCCUACAACGACACCAGCGUAUGCACACUGGACACAGACUGAACCCCUGCCAAGAAGAUUUGUCCAUGCAGGGUUCAGUAAAGGUUUAUGAAGUCCUCCACAAACUUAAAGUCCUUGAGAUCCGGCUUCAUAGAAUUCAGGUCUAAUUUCUUGUUUAGUGUCUUCGUUGCUUCGUUGCAAAAUCCAUUAAGAGGAAAGCUGUCGUUAACAGAUGUGACUGGUAAAUUAAUCAAACCGUUCAAAGUGGUUACUCAGUUAAAUUAAUUAUCAGUGGUAGAGGGAUAGACGUCUGGAUGGAGGCAGUGAGCAGCAGGGCGAAUUUCCUCAAUUACCACCUUAAUGGUUCCUGAGAUCCCUCUGGGCUGCAGGAACCCGUUAGAUGCAGAGCUGGUUCAGUGAUUCUCUGAUGAUUAAGCAUAAUUAAUUUCGGAGAUUACUGGCCUUAGGAUUCCUGUCUGUCUGUCUGUAAAUAUAAAAACAUGAAGUGUUCUAUGAAAAGUCCAAUCUUUGAAAGCUGACAUGUAGUUCAGAAUCAUUUCUUUGUAAAUUAGCUGCAUCCAGUCAUUACCAUGACACUGGCAGUGAUUCUCUGAUGAUUAAUCAUAAUUAAUUUAGGAGAUUACUGGCCUUAGGAUAUCUAUCUAUCUAUCUAUCUAUCUGUCUUUCUGUCUAUCUGUCUAUCUGUCUGUCUGUCUGUCUGUCUGAACUUUCUCAGCUACAGCAUCUGUACCUCUGCUUCUGUGUGAAGUAGUCAUUACAGGAGAGAAAGUGUAGAAAAUCUGACAAAUUUUGUCAAGUGGUCCAGAAAAAUCUGACUACCCCUACAACUUCUCUCCUGUAAUGAUAGUAAUAAGUAAUACAUAGUUGAUACUUCACACAGCAGUAGCAGAGGUGCAGAUGUUGUAGCUGAGAAAGUUUGGAGGUUGCCACUUCUUGCAUUCCAAGAAUAGUAGGGGAGUCAGAUUUUGUCAAGUGGCCCAGAAAAAUCUGACUCCAGAUUUUAUUUCAUAUCAUACAAUCUGCACUUUUAACUCAACCUGCAUAUUUCUGUUCAAGAUCUAGUUUUGAAAUGGUCUCUCUGUUCUUAAUCUGCCAUACUGUGAUCAUUUAGCCCCUUAUUUCAAUAUUCUGUUCUUGCAGACUGUAAUUUACGAGUUUUUUUUUUAAACUUGUUGUGAUUUGGUGUUUUAGCUGUUGUAGCUAAUAAUUUCCCAGGUGUGGGAUCAAUAAAGAAUUUCAAUUCUAUUAUAUUGUUAACUGGCCCUAUAAAAAUAACAACAAUAAGAAAUUACUUUAUACUUAAGAACGAUACUUAUAUUAAAGACUUUAUACAUAAAUACCAGACAUAUUUUGAUGCCAUAUCUCGCAUUCUUAGGAAAGUCUGAUUUUAAAUAAGGAGAUAUAAAGUUUUCUCAGUGAACAAUUAUUUUAAUGACACGUGUAGAACACUGAUGGAAUGUGAACAAUAUUUGGCGACUACACCCUGUCCUGUCCUGAUGUCCUCAUAGGAGUGAAGCUGAGAGUAGCGUAGGAUCUCCCCAAUGCCAUUUAGGGUGCGCACAUACGGAUGAGAAGAGGAGGAGAAACAUGUCACCUAAUCAUAUUUAACAGGAAAACAUGUCUGCAGGUCGGUACUUAGUCACAUUUAACCCAAAAACAACAGCAAAAGCAGUAAACGUUCGACAGAAAAACCCGUCAAGUGGGCACAGAGUGAAAAGUAAGUCACACGCGUUCACGCGAAGGGGGAGUCAGAUUUUUCCGGGGAGUGUGAAAAUUGCACAACACCUGGGUUAGUCUGUAUCCUUUUUUCUGAUUGGCUGAGACGAGACACGUGACAGUGUGCAUCUAUUAAUGAUCGGAAGCAUUCAGGUCGUUCCGGUUAUACUCGGUAGCGCUCUUCAGUAAAGGAGACGCAGUUUGUUAUUUUCUUUGAUUAUCGCUCGGCAAAUUACAAAAAAGUUGCAAGUUAACCCUUUUUUCACAUUUAUUAGGCAAAAUUAGCUUCGCCACCGUGGCUAAACAUGCUAAAAAUGGCUUUGCCAUCCUGAGGAAGGCUUCGCCUAUGGAGAAGUGGAGAAUGGCUAGCGCAAGCACAGAGACACCCUGAAAAUUUGACACAAUCUUAAAUAUUAUUAUGAAAUAUUUGUUGAAAAGUCUUUUUUGUGUGUUUCUAAGGGUGUGGCUGCAUCAGAAAGACACAAAUACAAAUGAUAUUUUUUUGGUUUGUUGUUUACAAGAAAUAUUUUAUGGAACCAGUCAAUUUUCAGUUUUAAUGUCUUUUUUUAGGAUGUGUUUAGUUUUAUGAUUGUACUAAAAUAAAUGACUCCUGAAGACCUCAAA
RNA transcript from Acanthochromis polyacanthus (spiny chromis), 4205 nucleotides. It is a transcript of the gene named gastrula zinc finger protein XlCGF26.1-like, with no coding region annotated. The transcript has 5 exons. The record is from RefSeq and is a predicted model, not a curated record. NCBI's taxonomy places the organism in Eukaryota, Metazoa, Chordata, Actinopteri, Pomacentridae.